GAGCGGAUGACGGGAGCUUGCUCCUUGAUUCAGCGGCGGACGGGUGAGUAAUGCCUAGGAAUCUGCCUGGUAGUGGGGGACAACGUUUCGAAAGGAACGCUAAUACCGCAUACGUCCUACGGGAGAAAGCAGGGGACCUUCGGGCCUUGCGCUAUCAGAUGAGCCUAGGUCGGAUUAGCUAGUUGGUGGGGUAAUGGCUCACCAAGGCGACGAUCCGUAACUGGUCUGAGAGGAUGAUCAGUCACACUGGAACUGAGACACGGUCCAGACUCCUACGGGGGGCAGCAGUGGGGAAUAUUGGACAAUGGGCGAAAGCCUGAUCCAGCCAUGCCGCGUGUGUGAAGAAGGUCUUCGGAUUGUAAAGCACUUUAAGUUGGGAGGAAGGGCAGUAAGUUAAUACCUUGCUGUUUUGACGUUACCGACAGAAUAAGCACCGGCUAACUCUGUG
This 448-nucleotide ribosomal RNA is filed under the name uncultured bacterium. RNAcentral describes it as "bacterial SSU rRNA". It matches the Rfam family "Bacterial small subunit ribosomal RNA", at positions 64 to 507 of the family's 1533-position model. The record is from RNAcentral.